CCCGCCAAAUCUUGCUCUCUCCUCAUCGUCCCCUCUCGCCGCGUUUCUACCCUUCCGAAUUCUCUCGCUACGUUUUCUUGACGCCACCGCUUCCUUCCCGAUGGUGGCGUCGUGCUUGAGGCCCUGGAUUGCCACCGGAGGUUGGGACGCCCUUAGAUCCGAAGGGAACACUUGGGAUUCCGGCCGUCUCCGAGCGAUCUUUAACGCUCGGUCGAGGGUUUACCGCGCCGAGGGAUGGCGACGCGUCGCUUGGCUACUGUAGUUCCGAUCGGCAUUCCAGGAAUGGACUCGCCGGCGAGAAUCAGCGGUUCGUCGAGUGGUUACGACAGGCGUGGCGGUACAUACGGAGGGCACAGUGGGAGCACGUUCGUGGUGGUAAUAUCGGGGGAGAUCGUGGAUGAUUCUGAGUUGGACAGCAUUCUUCAGGUACCUGGUGGUUCUUCUUCUUCUUCUUGGCUUAUUCUUUUGGAUUUCCUUUCGUCGGUUUGAUCUAUCGUCUUUUCUGUGCCGUGGAGCCGACUGUUUUCUAUGACGAUCUAAUUUGGCGGUGCAAGAUUAAUUUACUCUUUUCUAUGAUCAAAUUUGGCGGUGAAAGAAUAGUUUCGUUUUCGUGAUCAGAUUUGGCAGUGAAAGAUUAAUUUAUUUUUUUUUCUUGGUCAUGAAAUUUGGUGGUUAAAGAUCAAUUAAUUGUUAAUAAAUAAAUAUGACUUUUCUUGGGAAGGUAAACAUAUGAGGUAAAAAGCGUUUGAAAAGUUGGGUGGUUCAUGAGCGUAGUACCCAUUUCUUCCUUUAAUCAAAACGGAGUGCAAUGGAGUUUGUGACCCGAUCGUGUAGUUAAUUGCAAGAUCCAACGGCGUGAUCGUUUGUGUUCCAGACGCAAUUGGGUUGGGAGCUUGUGGAAGAAGGGUUUUGGAAAAUAAUGAAUCAUGUAAUCCUAGUCUUACGUUGUGUUAAUUAAUUUAAAGCUGUUUGGGCUUUGAACUAUCAGUUUUGACAAAAUGGAAGCCUCUAAAAUCUGGUGACAGGGAAACCCUAUGUGUUUUCUAUCGUGAGCACCUUUGUUGGGUUCGAGUUCCACCGAUCAAUCAACCUAGACAUUCAAACGCAGGUUCUUUCUUUGGAUUCUGUUCAUGUGGCGGCAUGUGACAUAACAUAACAGAGUAGUUUUGUCCCAAAAGAUGUAAUAGAAAUUGUGACAAAAAAGAGAGAGAGAGAGGAUGUUUCUUGGGAAGCAGAAGAGAACAUCAUAACAUAGUAGUUUUGUCCCAAAAGAUGUAAUAGAAAUUUUGUGACAAAAAAGAGAGAGAGGAUGUUUCUUGGGAAGCAGAAGAGAAGGAAUUCUUGACGGUGGUACAUCAUAACAUCAUAAUGCUUCAAAUGCAGGAUAUUUUCCUCCAUCAUGGCCUCGGGAUCAAAUUUGAUAAACUCUUGAUAGAAAGCGGGAGGAACAUUUGUUUUGAUCCAUAAGUUUUUAGCAAAAUUCUUCUUUCUUUGGCUUCCAUGAUAUUAAUAAUUUGUUUGAUGGCUUUUGUUACUAACGUAAUUUUUUGUAUGCUUGCUCUGAAGGAUUUCUUUUUUUUUUUUGUUUAAAGUUUUAGUAAACCUGGGCGUUUAUUUGGCUUAUUUUAAGGUUGACUCUGUGUUUUAUUAUUAUUAUUAUUAUUAUUAUUAUUAUUAUUAUUAUUAUUAUUAUUAUUAUUAUUAUUAUUAUUAUUAUUAUUAUCAUUGGACUCAUGCUCCUUGUUCUUUUGACACCAUUAUUUCAUUUAUGGGCAUCAUAGGAGAUGUGGCUUAUAAAGCCCAAUAUGAGGAGCCAUCAUGUUUUCUUUAAUUAUUUUUUUUUCAGAAAAAAAAAAGAUAGUUGUUAGCCUUUGGUUUUGCUAGUAUACUUAGGGAAAGUAGGGGUCGACUGAAUGUUAGUAUACUUUGGUUUUGCUUCCUCCUUCAGAAAUCAUAUAGUUGGCAACCUAGUUGUUGCAACUCAGCAGAUAGGAUGAUAGGUUAACGAUUUAAAUUGGUAAUAGAUUUAAUCCUAACUUAUGUGCGUUUCAACCAAACAAAAAAUACUGCAUUGCAACUAUACAUGAGUCACGAAUGAUUCUUUUACUUUCUUCUAAGGAACUUUUUAAUUAAGGUGCAAAUUCAUUCCUAAAGGAACUCUUUUAACUAUUUAUUGCACAUGAGGUGUCACAGUUGCCCUAUGCUGUUCAUAAGACCAUAUUAUCUUAGCUUGGAAGUGUUUUGGAUAAGUUUUGAACUGCAAGUAUAUGCCGAUGUUCUUUUUUUUUUCUGAAUGGAUUAAUUCUUAGUUUUUGUUUUUUUGGUUCAUGCAGUUACAUUUUAUCGCAUGACAUGUUAGAUAAUAUUUGCUAUCUCGGGUUUUUGUAAGGGUCGUCCCUCUAUGCUAUGUCUUAUUUCUUAUUUUUGGUUCAUCCAUGUUUUAUUUCUGUGCGUAUUUUGUCAAAAAUCGAGAGUUGUGGCGACACAAAAGCUUCCAGAAUAUGACAUGCAGGGCCAGGGGAGUGACACAGUCGGUCGCAAAUGACAUGUUUGUUCUCUCACUUUUCCUUCUCGUCUUAUAAAGUACUAACAUGAAUAAGGGCGUCCCAUUAGUUUUCUGCUGCAAAGUGGAUGACAGGGAUUUGCAAGUGAACGGUCGGAGUUGGCUGCUGCGGCAUACGUUUGCUAUGAAGUGUGUACACUUUUUAUGUGAUAAAAAAAUCAAUCCUACAAAAUUUUAGCAAACUUUCAAUUUACUGUUUUUCAUGCAAACUUGAACUUCGUAAGUCUGUGACUUUAAAACUUGAAUUUAAUAUUUAUAAAAUAAAAACUUUAAAAUACUUAAAUUGUCAAAAUCAAACAAGUUUAUACUAAAAUUUAUUUACACAAAAAAAUAAUUAUUUACAUAAUUUAUACAUUCAAUAAAAUAUUGUUUUAUGUAUUUUGAAUAAAAAGUUGGAAGUUCUCUAUUUAAAAAACCAGAACCAAAUUGAAUAAAGUGGAACAGCAACGCAGUCUCAAUCUUUUUUUUUUUGUUCCUCGUCAAUAGAUCAAUAAAAAAUUAUUCAAAUUCCUUAUAAGAUUUUCUAAUAAUUUAUGGACGAAAAAAUCAAUUUUGAAGGGCAAAAUUAAAAAGAAAAAAAAAAGUUUUUCCGAAAAUUUACCUAAUGUUCAGGAAGGAAAUAAAGAAACAUCUAAACAGCUUUUUACAACACAUAAUUCCUUGGGUGUGUUAAAAGCUCGCGAUGGUCGGGUGACAGCGCUGGGCGAGCAGUCUGUGUCUGCGUCCUCAUCAAGUAAAAAGCACGGGCAAGUUGAUCUUAAAAAACCAGCGACGAAGUCUUCUUCCAAGAGGUGCCACAGAAACCUGUAACCUGUUCACUCGCUUCAAAUAAAAUUUUAAUUUACCUUUCAUUUCUUUCUUCAAAGAAAAAAAUGCUAAAAUUUCGAGCCUAUCGUAUGAUAGCCUUUGUACGUAGUCUAGUUGUAAUGCCCAUUGUCAUCUUUAGCACAUUUUAUCUUUUACAUUUUUUGAUUCUAUAUUAAAGUUUAUCAACUCUUAUUUCUUCAAGGAUGCACGGUCACCGGAUAAAAAUUGUGAAGCACUCAAAUUAAUUCAAAUUAACUGGGAAAAGAACCUCAACCAUUGUUUACAAAAUUGAUUCAAACUAAAUCAAUAGAUGAUGAAGAUGUAAAUUAUUUACAAAAUUGUUUGCUACACAUAAAAAAAAAAAAUAGAACCUCAACCUUAAGUUAAACUAAAUGCACACAGUUUUGUAAACGCAUUUUCUAUUUACCAACUGGUUUUCUCUUCCCAUAAGCACACAAAUACCCAAAGAAUACCACUGCAUACAUCUAUUGGCAGGCAUUACAAUCCUUUCUUGUGUGUGUGCGUGUAUUGUGAGUUCCAUUGCAGAACAAACUUACUUGUUUUGACAAUAAGAUUCACCAAAUUAAAGAUCAUUUCAAGAGGAAUAUUCUGCUUUUGUCUAGUUCUAACAUGAAAAUGACUAGGUGAUAUAACAUAUCUAUAAUCCUUGUAGCAACUAAGAUGAAAAAUGCCUUCAUAAUCAGUUAGUAAAUUCAUUAAUGUUUUAUCGUCAAAAUAUGGUCAUCAUUUUCUAACUCAUGUUAUAUUCAGAUAAGCUUAGAUGGCACCUUUUACCUUCUCCUCGUUAAUCAGCUCUACUUCUAGGUGUUAGUACCUGAAGCACAAUUUCCCUAUAUUUAUUAUGCACUAUGUACAAGAGCAAUAUGUGUAACAAUAAUAUCCUUACUAAAAUGAACUGCAUAAUAUAAGAAAAUACUUGUAAAAAAAUGACAUAAGCAGCAGCAUUGGUCAUUUAAGUCAUAAUAGAAUACAGCAAUGAAGCAUAGAGAAACCUAGAGGUCAAAGAACGAGACAUCUACGUGUAAAUUCAUUCCGAGAAAGUUGUCAAAGAACUUUGGGAAAUUCUAUAAGCUAAAGUCAUGUAGAGGUACAAAAUUUUGUAAACAAAAAUUCAACCUACUAAAACAACUUGUAAACACACUAAAUGAAACAUACAAGCUAAGAAGCAUGCAGGGAAAAUCAAAGGUUGUGUCCUGUGUCUAUGAUAGGGUAGGGCUCAAACAAGGAAAAAAGAUGAAGCUCAAAUUGGAUAUCUGAAGAGUCCGCUAUGGUAUUAGUUUCAUGACAUCAGGAAUAUAUAGACAGACUUUAAUCAAGUAGUCUUUUAUGGGUUUACAAUAAAUUCACUAAGAAAAGGACUAAAGUUGAUCGUAUAAGUUCAUAGGGUGUACAAUCACCCAGAUCAAAAAAAUGUAAAUAACUAAAGUUGUUAGAAGGAUAGAGAAUAAUGGCUAAUGGAUUGCAAAAUUAGGAUAUCAAGUUGUUUUAGGAAUUUUAUAGCAAUCUAGUGAAAUGUAUGCUGACAAACAUUGAUCAGCAAUAUAACAGUAAGAAAAGUAUUUAUGGUACACAUCUUAUAUGAAGUUCAGAAACAGAGCAAGUACUGUUGUUCUGCCAUAUAUAUCAACUGUUGGACAGAUUGUUGUUGUAAGAGAAACUAGGCAAAGAAAUAAAGAAGUAUAGAAUUGGAAGUUGACACAGUGUGAGCACCACUAACCCAACAUUAAAAUAAGUAUAAACUAAUGGAAAUACAAUAAAAGAUCAAACAAAUAUCCAAGCAAUAUUAACAAAAAAGCACACUGAAAUAUUGAUGAUUCAAAAAAAGAGGUUCAGAGUCCAAAUAAUAAUUAGGUGAAGUACUUGGAAAUGCUUAAAAUAACACCUAAGCCAUCCUUAGAUAAAAAAACAUUGAUAAAGAAUUAUUAGCACAAAAUGUUGAUAAAAAACAUUGAUAAAAAACAUUGAAAAUUAAAUAUCUUCAAACCAUUCUCCUUUUACAAUUAAAGUGAAGUUGAUUAUUUAUAUCCUCUAAACAGUUUAGCUCCUUAAAGACCAAUAGUGACUCCACAAGAAGAUCACGAACUGUUAUGAACCAAUGAUGAACACCUGUGUGCUUCUGUAAUAGCUUACACACUCAAACCUAAACUUACUUCUAUACUAGCUUAUCUGCUCAGACUAGACUUACUUUUAGCAGGUAUGCAUAUCAAACAUCACUAGGUUCAAACAAGAGAAGAGUAAACAGAUGAUCAUAAAAAGGGAAAUAUAAGAUACAUUGCAGCAAAAAUUACAGACUAGCACAUCAGAAUUUAUGAGCUCAAAAGUUUUCAGCAAGAAUUUAGUAGGAUUAUAUACCAAUAGAAGGAUGAUUACCAUCAUCAAUAUGAGGCAAAGGUCGUCAUGCCGCCAUAAUAGGAGAGCUUCUCCCCGUCGCCAUCAUGAUAACCCUCGAGACAAGAAACACCACGUCAACCACUAUAGUCAAGACAUGGAAUUCAGGAACAGUGAGAGUCAGCACAUCACCUACGUCAAUUGAGAUCUCGAUCGAUCUUUAACGACAUCCAUAGGUCCAAGAUCCUGUAUGCACGUAGCGACAUCAGUUGCCCGCAGGGUCGCAUUCCCAUCCUUAUCAAGACGUGAACCAAGAAACAAAGAAUAAUUAGAAAUUAGAAGACUGACUAGGGCUUGUUGCGAUACGUGUGGAAGCAGAUCUAUGUGGAAUGCAUCUAUGGGUCCAAGAUCCAGUUCCCAUACAUCGACCGAAGAAGUCACGGGUGGCUUCUGCCACGAGUCGCAGAGGCACAGUCCCACACACAAGAAUCAGGAAUCAAGAAUACAAGCUAAGUGUCCAAGAUUCAGUACCCACAAGAUUUUACCCAAGAAGUCUUGGGGAGAGCUUCAGCCACCGUCCAUAGGGGCACAAUGCCACCCCCAUCGACACGUUCCUCCAUCCGUGCAACAGAAUAAUAACGAAUCAAGAUGACAAGCAGAUCUCGACGGUCUGCAUCCGAGCGUCACCCAAAUAGGCACAUCGAUUGGACCAAGAAGAGCCCCUCAUGGGCACAUUCUCACCCUCGUCGACGCGCCAGUCCCGAGGAACAGACGGAAACAGAAGAAUCAAGAAGACAAGUUAGGGUAUGGUGGAGUGCCUGCGGAAGCAGAUCGGGAUGGGUCUGGAUGUCGAGCAGGGCGUCGAAUCCUUGGCCUUGAGGACGUCCUCGUACUUGGCGGGGCGGCGGAGACGCGGGGGAUCAUGGAUCUGUAUGCGAUCGCAGGCGCCUUGAUGGGGCCGGUGGUGGUCACCACCGCGAGGCCCGGAAGAAGGAAGAUCAAUCACGCUGGGCGAAGAGGAGGGAGAAGGAGGAGGACGACGGGAGGAGAAGAGGAGGGAAAGAUCGGAGUCGGCGUCGACGCCGACCAAUAGGUAGGUCGCGAUCAAGUCGAAGGCAAACGUGGGCACGGCAACCAAUCAUUUCGAUCGCAACCGAAUUAUAGGGUCGUAACGACGGUGGGAAUAAUGGAAGGAGGCACUCUGCUCCACGACGUGAUUUAAGAACCGACUUAGCCGACGAGAAGCAGUGUUGGCACACAUCAGCAAUCACGCUUUCCGAUCGGGCUUAAAAAGAAAGAAAUAAGAAUACCAACUAAAAAAAACCGGCGUCGGCGAGUCGGUUCGACCGCGGUUCGUUCCCGAGCCCAUCGAGCCGCAGCCACGCUAUCCUAUUGGGAUUAAAAAGAAAGAAAUACGAAUAAUCGAUGACAAAAAACCGGUGUUGGCGAGUCGGUUCGACGGGCUCGGGAACGAGCCGCACUUGAAUCGAUUUGGUUGGUCACAUGGGUUCAAGCAACAAAGCCCAAAUUGGUUCGACAAGAGCACAACCACGCACUUUGUUGCUCCAAAGCAAUUAUUAGACAGUUGGAGAUGCCAUGCACAACCACGUUUGGUACACAACAGAUGACCACCGAUAUGAAGAACAGAAGCGACCACUAAAGAGAUGACAGAUUCAAACACGACACUUGUUGCUGUUGAUGAUGCAGUAGGUUCCCAUAUGAGCCCACAGAGAGAGAUCAGCCAGAGAAAGUGGAGGGCAUGCAGUGAGAAGAAGCUCAACUCCCGACCUCUGCGAUGCUCUGCAACGCUGGCCUCCACUGCCCAUGCCGCGCUGGUGCUCCACCACCGCCACCACCACCAACGCCACCGAAGCUGGCCCUUGACCUUGUUGAAUUCCCCAUGGUCAUCAUCCCCCGCACCACCUCCUCCAGCUCCGCAUCCAUUGCCUCCUCCUCCUCCUCCUCCUCCUCUUUCUGUUCCUGAAAUAAACUCAGGUAAUCAGAAAGUAGCAAAAGGCAUGAGAACUAUGACGCUAUCUUCAACUCAUCACUCUCGACGAGGCAAACACGAGUCACUGUGUCAGAUAAGACUCGGAAAACAGUGCCAUACGCUGUUCAUGUUCUUUUUCUCUUUUCGUAGUCUUUUGCCCCUUGUUUUAUCUCUGUUUUACCCUUUCGCUGAGAGAUUCUGAGUGUGGGGGUGGUGGAUGGACGCCGCGAGUCAUUCGCUGUCGCCAUGAAAGCCUAAGGGAAUAAUCCAAGCAGAAGCCAUGCGAGCUACCACGGCAAUUCGUAGUAUAUGCAGCCAUAGUACUGGUUUUCGUGGAAGAAAUUACUGGGGAAGUAAAACAUACCGUCGCCGGAGAUGUGUCUGGCUCGGCCGCUCCACUUCCACCAUCGUUACGUGACUGACGUCUCCGGGCUCCGGCGAUGGUGGUGGCGCCCCCUCUGCCGCGGCGGCUAUGUCCUCUUCGGGGCCUCCUGGUUUUGUCCUCCUCUUUGACGAGCAGACGGCUCAGCUUAACGUGCCUCUUCCACGCAAACUCUCUCACUACCUCUGCAGCGAUUACACGCCUCAAACCUCUGAAGCGAACAGGGAAAAGGAAGGAGUACAGAGUAGAGAGAACGACCUUCGAAGCUGAUGAGCCGAUAGACGUGGCCGAUGUGGAGGGCGUCGUCGGGUCGGAGCAGCUUGAGGUGCUUCACGGGCGCCGCUCCGCCGGCGCUGCUACUGCCGCUGCAGCUACGAUAAGCACGGAAGGAGGAGGUGGACGAUUGAAGCGCCGGAGGAGGAAGCCGGGAGGGGUAACCGUCUACGAUCACGGCGACGUAGUGGCCGGGGUUGGCGGCCAUGACCUGACUGGCGCUGAGCGACCAGUACGCCCUCUCCACUUUGCCUCCGGGGUGGUGGAUGACCACCGUCGCGGCCUCCGCCGCCUGGCAAUUUCCCAUCUCUCGUCCUCCUGCAACCUUAUGGAAUCAGUGGCAGUUUGAGAUACAUGGCAGCAUUUAUAGCUUUACGUGGAAAGAGUUCACGUAUGAGGCUUUUGUUGGACGGCAAGGAGGUCUUCACGGGUGCCUAUGGACGACCGAGAUUUUCUCAUGUCUCUAUCGUACGGUGAAGAUCUGGUUUACUUUUGAGAUCAACUCGAUAUUGAAGGUCGACCAUGCCAUGAGAAGGUCGACCAAGAAAACAUUCUUCUAACUACAUACAAUAUUGAAACCACAUUGUGGUUGAGGUAUUAAGAUCACCAACAAAGCUAAGGAAGAUGAAGACAAGUAGGAGAAGGCCAAAAGAGUGGUAGAAUGAGUAAAGAGGGUGCCAAACUUGUUAGGACAUUGGACUGUUCUCACCUAAUGAUCCUUUGGGGUCGUGUACUACUCUAUCAAACUCAUCUUUUGAGCAGGAAACUUGGAAGGGAAACUCAACAGGAAUUUUAUUUCCAGAGAAUUGGAAUGAAGAACACAUCAACAAGACAAAGAAAGAAGAUAGGAAAAGGUGUAGUCAAACUGAUCU
RNAcentral lists this long non-coding RNA (9236 nucleotides) under Musa acuminata (dwarf banana). RNAcentral describes it as "long non-coding RNA (MACU_LNC004882)". The record is from RNAcentral. Lineage: Eukaryota; Viridiplantae; Streptophyta; Magnoliopsida; Zingiberales; Musaceae.